RNAcentral lists this ribosomal RNA (720 nucleotides) under Microbacterium sp. SN15. RNAcentral describes it as "bacterial SSU rRNA". It matches the Rfam family "Bacterial small subunit ribosomal RNA", at positions 59 to 792 of the family's 1533-position model. The record is from RNAcentral. Lineage: Bacteria; Bacillati; Actinomycetota; Actinomycetes; Micrococcales; Microbacteriaceae.
CAGUCGACGGUGAAGCAGAGCUUGCUCUGUGGAUCAGUGGCGAACGGGUGAGUAACACGUGAGCAACCUGCCCUGGACUCUGGGAUAAGCGCUGGAAACGGCGUCUAAUACUGGAUAUGAGAUGCGAUCGCAUGGUCGUGUUUGGAAAGAUUUUUCGGUCUGGGAUGGGCUCGCGGCCUAUCAGCUUGUUGGUGAGGUAAUGGCUCACCAAGGCGUCGACGGGUAGCCGGCCUGAGAGGGUGACCGGCCACACUGGGACUGAGACACGGCCCAGACUCCUACGGGAGGCAGCAGUGGGGAAUAUUGCACAAUGGGCGAAAGCCUGAUGCAGCAACGCCGCGUGAGGGAUGACGGCCUUCGGGUUGUAAACCUCUUUUGGUAGGGAAGAAGCCUUCGGGUGACGGUACCUGCAGAAAAAGCGCCGGCUAACUACGUGCCAGCAGCCGCGGUAAUACGUAGGGCGCAAGCGUUAUCCGGAAUUAUUGGGCGUAAAGAGCUCGUAGGCGGCUGUCGCGUCUGCUGUGAAAUCCCGAGGCUCAACCUCGGGCUUGCAGUGGGUACGGGCAGACUAGAGUGCGGUAGGGGAGAUUGGAAUUCCUGGUGUAGCGGUGGAAUGCGCAGAUAUCAGGAGGAACACCGAUGGCGAAGGCAGAUCUCUGGGCCGUUACUGACGCUGAGGAGCGAAAGGGUGGGGAGCAAACAGGCUUAGAUACCCUGGUA